UAAAAAUGAACUGAAUACCCUCGUAUAAUAAUGGGAAUAUGGCCCAUAAGUUUCUACCCGAUAACCGUAAAUUAUUGGACUAUGAGGGAAAGUCGAUAAGCC
RNAcentral lists this non-coding RNA (102 nucleotides) under Bacillus sp. (in: firmicutes). RNAcentral's name for it is "Bacillus sp. Guanine sequence". It matches the Rfam family "Purine riboswitch aptamer". From Rfam's summary of the family: Riboswitches are metabolite binding domains within certain messenger RNAs that serve as precision sensors for their corresponding targets. Lineage: Bacteria; Bacillati; Bacillota; Bacilli; Caryophanales; Bacillaceae. The record is from RNAcentral. RNAcentral also lists the same sequence under 1 other name.